This 444-nucleotide ribosomal RNA is filed under the name uncultured bacterium. Its description in RNAcentral is "bacterial SSU rRNA". It matches the Rfam family "Bacterial small subunit ribosomal RNA", at positions 336 to 795 of the family's 1533-position model. The record is from RNAcentral.
UUCCUACGGGGGGCUGCAGUGGGGAAUAUUGCGCAAUGGGCGAAAGCCUGACGCAGCGACGCCGCGUGUGGGAUGAAGGUCUUCGGAUUGUAAACCACUGUCGGGAGGGACGAAGCUCUGACGGUACCUCCAAAGGAAGCACCGGCUAACUCUGUGCCAGCAGCCGCGGUAAUACAGAGGGUGCGAGCGUUGUCCGGAAUCACUGGGCGUAAAGGGCGCGUAGGGGGCUUGAUAAGUAGGGGGUGAAAUCUCAUGGCUCAACUGUGAGGCUGCCUUGUAGACUGUCUGGCUUGAGCACAGUAGAGGCGAGUGGAAUUCCCGGUGUAGCGGUGGAAUGCGUAGAGAUCGGGAAGAACAUCGGUGGCGAAGGCGGCUCGCUGGGCUGUUGCUGACGCUGAUGCGCGAAAGCGUGGGGAGCAAACAGGAUUAGAUACCCGAGUAGUC